This 402-nucleotide ribosomal RNA is filed under the name uncultured bacterium. RNAcentral's name for it is "bacterial SSU rRNA". It matches the Rfam family "Bacterial small subunit ribosomal RNA", at positions 29 to 429 of the family's 1533-position model. The record is from RNAcentral.
AGUGAACGCUGGCGGCAGGCCUAAUACAUGCAAGUCGAACGGCAGCACAGCAGAGCUUGCUCUGUGGGUGGCGAGUGGCGGACGGGUGAGGAAUACAUGGGAAUCUGCCCAGUCGUGGGGAUAACGUAGGGAAACUUACGCUAAUACCGCAUGCGCCCUUCGGGGAAGCCGGGGACCUUCGGGCCUGGCGCGAUUGGAUGAGCCAUGUCGGAUUAGCUAGUUGGCGGGGUAAUGGCCCACCAAGGCGACGAUCCGUAGCUGGUCUGAGAGGAUGAUCAGCCACACUGGAACUGAGACACGGUCCAGACUCCUACGGGAGGCAGCAGUAGGGAAUAUUGGACAAUGGGCGCAAGCCCUGAUCCAGCCAUGCCGCGUGAGUGAAGAAGGCCCUCGGGUUGUAAG